UAGCGUAUAUUAAAGUUGUUGCGGUAAAAAAGCUCGUAGUUGGAUUUCUGUUGAGGACGACCGGUCCGUACCACGUACGCGCAUCUGGCUCGGCCUCGGCAUCCUCUCGAUAGACGUUUCUGCGCUUGAUUGCGUGGAGCGGAUUUCGGGACUUUUACUUUGAGGAAAUUAGAGUGUUCACGGCAGGCAACCGCCCGAAUACAUUAGCAUGGAAUAAUACUAUAGGAUCUCGAUUCUAUUUUGUUGGUUUCUAGGAUUGGGAUAAUGAUUAAUAGGGACAAUUGGGGGCAUUCGUAUCAACACGUC
This 306-nucleotide ribosomal RNA is filed under the name Amoebophrya sp. RNAcentral's name for it is "SSU rRNA". It matches the Rfam family "Eukaryotic small subunit ribosomal RNA", at positions 595 to 906 of the family's 1831-position model. The record is from RNAcentral. Lineage: Eukaryota; Dinophyceae; Syndiniales; Amoebophryaceae.